This 465-nucleotide ribosomal RNA is filed under the name Vreelandella stevensii. RNAcentral describes it as "partial 16S ribosomal RNA". It matches the Rfam family "Bacterial small subunit ribosomal RNA", at positions 338 to 795 of the family's 1533-position model. Lineage: Bacteria; Pseudomonadati; Pseudomonadota; Gammaproteobacteria; Oceanospirillales; Halomonadaceae. The record is from RNAcentral.
CCUACGGGGGGCUGCAGUGGGGAAUAUUGGACAAUGGGGGCAACCCUGAUCCAGCCAUGCCGCGUGUGUGAAGAAGGCCCUCGGGUUGUAAAGCACUUUCAGUGAGGAAGAACGCCUGGUGGUUAAUACCCAUCAGGAAAGACAUCACUCACAGAAGAAGCACCGGCUAACUCCGUGCCAGCAGCCGCGGUAAUACGGAGGGUGCGAGCGUUAAUCGGAAUUACUGGGCGUAAAGCGCGCGUAGGUGGCUUGAUAAGCCGGUUGUGAAAGCCCCGGGCUCAACCUGGGAACGGCAUCCGGAACUGGCAAGCUAGAGUGCAGGAGAGGAAGGUAGAAUUCCCGGUGUAGCGGUGAAAUGCGUAGAGGUCGGGAGGAAUACCAGUGGCGAAGGCGGCCUUCUGGACUGAAACUGACACUGAGGUGCGAAAGCGUGGGUAGCAAACAGGAUUAGAUACCCGAGUAGUC